RNAcentral lists this transfer RNA (60 nucleotides) under bovine gut metagenome. It matches the Rfam family "tRNA", at positions 8 to 63 of the family's 71-position model. From Rfam's summary of the family: Transfer RNA (tRNA) molecules are approximately 80 nucleotides in length. Their secondary structure includes four short double-helical elements and three loops (D, anti-codon, and T loops). Further hydrogen bonds mediate the characteristic L-shaped molecular structure. tRNAs have two regions of fundamental functional importance: the anti-codon, which is responsible for specific mRNA codon recognition, and the 3' end, to which the tRNAs corresponding amino acid is attached (by aminoacyl-tRNA synthetases). tRNAs cope with the degeneracy of the genetic code in two manners: having more than one tRNA (with a specific anti-codon) for a particular amino acid; and 'wobble' base-pairing, i.e. permitting non-standard base-pairing at the 3rd anti-codon position. The record is from RNAcentral.
GUUAGCUCAGUUGGUAGAGCACUUGGCUGUUAACCAGGGGGUCGUUGGUUCGAGUCCAAC